This 1494-nucleotide ribosomal RNA is filed under the name metagenome. RNAcentral's name for it is "bacterial SSU rRNA". It matches the Rfam family "Bacterial small subunit ribosomal RNA". The record is from RNAcentral.
CUGGCGGCAGGCCUAACACAUGCAAGUCGAACGGUAACAGGAAACAGCUUGCUGUUUCGCUGACGAGUGGCGGACGGGUGAGUAAUGUCUGGGAAACUGCCUGAUGGAGGGGGAUAACUACUGGAAACGGUAGCUAAUACCGCAUAACGUCGCAAGACCAAAGAGGGGGACCUUCGGGCCUCUUGCCAUCAGAUGUGCCCAGAUGGGAUUAGCUAGUAGGUGGGGUAACGGCUCACCUAGGCGACGAUCCCUAGCUGGUCUGAGAGGAUGACCAGCCUCACUGGAACUGAGACACGGUCCAGACUCCUACGGGAGGCAGCAGUGGGGAAUAUUGCACAAUGGGCGCAAGCCUGAUGCAGCCAUGCCGCGUGUAUGAAGAAGGCCUUCGGGUUGUAAAGUACUUUCAGCGGGGAGGAAGGGAGUAAAGUUAAUACCUUUGCUCAUUGACGUUACCCGCAGAAGAAGCACCGGCUAACUCCGUGCCAGCAGCCGCGGUAAUACGGAGGGUGCAAGCGUUAAUCGGAAUUACUGGGCGUAAAGCGCACGCAGGCGGUUUGUUAAGUCAGAUGUGAAAUCCCCGGGCUCAACCUGGGAACUGCAUCUGAUACUGGCAAGCUUGAGUCUCGUAGAGGGGGGUAGAAUUCCAGGUGUAGCGGUGAAAUGCGUAGAGAUCUGGAGGAAUACCGGUGGCGAAGGCGGCCCCCUGGACGAAGACUGACGCUCAGGUGCGAAAGCGUGGGGAGCAAACAGGAUUAGAUACCCUGGUAGUCCACGCCGUAAACGAUGUCGACUUGGAGGUUGUGCCCUUGAGGCGUGGCUUCCGGAGCUAACGCGUUAAGUCGACCGCCUGGGGAGUACGGCCGCAAGGUUAAAACUCAAAUGAAUUGACGGGGGCCCGCACAAGCGGUGGAGCAUGUGGUUUAAUUCGAUGCAACGCGAAGAACCUUACCUGGUCUUGACAUCCACGGAAGUUUUCAGAGAUGAGAAUGUGCCUUCGGGAACCGUGAGACAGGUGCUGCAUGGCUGUCGUCAGCUCGUGUUGUGAAAUGUUGGGUUAAGUCCCGCAACGAGCGCAACCCUUAUCCUUUGUUGCCAGCGGUCCGGCCGGGAACUCAAAGGAGACUGCCAGUGAUAAACUGGAGGAAGGUGGGGAUGACGUCAAGUCAUCAUGGCCCUUACGACCAGGGCUACACACGUGCUACAAUGGCGCAUACAAAGAGAAGCGACCUCGCGAGAGCAAGCGGACCUCAUAAAGUGCGUCGUAGUCCGGAUUGGAGUCUGCAACUCGACUCCAUGAAGUCGGAAUCGCUAGUAAUCGUGGAUCAGAAUGCCACGGUGAAUACGUUCCCGGGCCUUGUACACACCGCCCGUCACACCAUGGGAGUGGGUUGCAAAAGAAGUAGGUAGCUUAACCUUCGGGAGGGCGCUUACCACUUUGUGAUUCAUGACUGGGGUGGAGUCGUAACAAGGUAACCGUAGGGGAACCUGCGGUUG